GAUGAACGCUGGCGGCGUGCCUAAUACAUGCAAGUCGAGCGAACAGACGAGGAGCUUGCUCCUCUGACGUUAGCGGCGGACGGGUGAGUAACACGUGGAUAACCUACCUAUAAGACUGGGAUAACUUCGGGAAACCGGAGCUAAUACCGGAUAAUAUAUUGAACCGCAUGGUUCAAUAGUGAAAGACGGUUUCGCUGUCACAUAUAGAUGGAUCCGCGCCGCAUUAGCUAGUUGGUAAGGUAACAGCUUACCAAGGCAACGAUGCGUAGCCGACCUGAGAGGGUGAUCGGCCACACUGGAACUGAGACACGGUCCAGACUCCUACGGGAGGCAGCAGUAGGGAAUCUUCCGCAAUGGGCGAAAGCCUGACGGAGCAACGCCGCGUGAGUGAUGAAGGUCUUCGGAUCGUAAAACUCUGUUAUUAGGGAAGAACAAAUGUGUAAGUAACUAUGCACGUCUUGACGGUACCUAAUCAGAAAGCCACGGCUAACUACGUG
This 497-nucleotide ribosomal RNA is filed under the name uncultured bacterium. Its description in RNAcentral is "partial 16S ribosomal RNA". It matches the Rfam family "Bacterial small subunit ribosomal RNA", at positions 28 to 507 of the family's 1533-position model. The record is from RNAcentral.